RNAcentral lists this small nuclear RNA (22 nucleotides) under Arabidopsis thaliana (thale cress). RNAcentral describes it as "snRNA_08054". Lineage: Eukaryota; Viridiplantae; Streptophyta; Magnoliopsida; Brassicales; Brassicaceae. The record is from RNAcentral.
AUGGAUCCGUAACUUCGGGAAA